UAACUGAGACGGUCCAGACUCCUACGGGAGGCAGCAGUGGGGAAUUUUCCGCAAUGGGCGAAAGCCUGACGGAGCAAUUUCGCUUGAGGGAUGACUGCCUAUGGGUUGUAAACCUCUUUUUUCAGGGAGGAAAAAUGACGGU
Molecule: ribosomal RNA, 142 nt
Filed under: uncultured phototrophic eukaryote
Lineage: Eukaryota
Description: partial 16S ribosomal RNA
Rfam family: Bacterial small subunit ribosomal RNA
Source: RNAcentral